This 3344-nucleotide long non-coding RNA is filed under the name Homo sapiens (human). Its description in RNAcentral is "HSALNT0245822". The record is from RNAcentral. Lineage: Eukaryota; Metazoa; Chordata; Mammalia; Primates; Hominidae.
CGAGGCGGCCGGUGGGCGCGGCGCCAGCCCCGGCGGCGCGUUCCUGGCAGCGGCCCCUCCCCGCCGCGCGCUCCGCCCCCAACUUCUCAUUCACACUUUCCCCCCACCCCCCUCCCUUCUAAGAAGGCUGAUUUCUGGCAGAGGCGGGGGCGCCGCUUCGGGAGAGCGGGCAGUUCUAGGAGGCCGACCUGGAGAGCCUCCCGGUUCCCCUUCCCCUUUUCCCGGACCCCGCGGGGACACCCCCUCGCCGCCACCCGGGCCUCCCCGAGGGCCCAACUGCGGGUCAGGCGGCCCGGGCCAGCCGAAAGGGAAGUGGGGCUACCCCACAGCCAGGCAGCGGGGCUGGGGUCAGACCCGGGAGCCGGAGGUUGGAGACGUGCGACAGUCACCUGCGGGCAGAUUCCAGAGGGGAGACCCAGGGCUGCAGGGGACGCCCCUUCGUGGCAGCUACCCAGCCUCGGCCCACUGCCAGUGUUACGUGGCUGCAUGACCAUACACUUCUGGGUAGAGCCCAGUGGAAGACAAAGAAGACUCAAGGAAUAGCCCUUGAGGGCUCAGGAGCUAUACAGAUGGGAUAGAGGGUGUGAGUGCUGGGAAGCCCCAUCCAUGGCUCGCUGGAGAUUAGAGGCCUGUUAAUCUGAAGACAAAGGAAUGAAGACGAAAACGUUUCUGAAAAUGUGGGUGGAGACACCUGGGCCUUUACAGGGUACGCUCCAGAGCUGCUUCCAGGCAGGGACCCCGGCUGAGAGAAGCCAGAGCCAGAGAGUCGCAGGCUUGCUUGCUCUUAUCUUCCCUCUGCUGGGGGGGUCGAGGGGAGAUCUGGCCCCUCUGCUCUGCCCUCCUGAUUUCCCGUCUAAGGGAUUUAGGAGACUUUUGCCUUUUCCUAAUCUCUCCCUUUGCAGAAUUUCUGCGAAGUCACAAUCCCAUUUCCAGGCAAAGGUGCUUGGUCAUAAAGAUAAUAAAGAUAUUCAUUCAUGAUGGAGGGGAAGUACACAGUGGUUUCAGCUGCCUGUAGGGCUCCACUUACUCAUGGUGUGUGACAGAUGCUGAGCCCUUCCCCAAAUCUCAUGGAUGGGAAGGAAACCUGGCGCCGCGGGGUGGUCGCGGGAAGCCGUGGCAUGGCUUGGUGAACACAGGCUCGCCGACCCGGGGGCGGAUGCUGAGGUUGCCAUUGUUGGUGGCUGCAUCUGCAGUAGACGGGUCGGGAUGCCGGCCUCAGACCACAGCGUUGCUAAAUGCCAAACCCAAGGCCUCCCCGUCUUUAACACUGCUGGGCAUUCUACAGCGCAAGGAGGCAGCUGGGGCUGGACUGCCCAGUGCCUGCCGUUGACUGUGCGUCUUCUGCCUGUGAGCUAGCCUGCCACACCUGGGGAUACACGGUGGGGAAAUCAAUCAGCUUCCCUCCCUUCUAGAGCUUCAGGUCCGGCGUUGGUGUCUAGAGGCAAGGGGAGGAGGCAGGGAGGCCUCUUCUUUUCUGUCCCCCUUUCUCUUGGCCAAUUUGGAGGAGAUGGUGGGGGACCUGUCUCUCAUCUGACCUCCUGGAAGCCCUGCCUGCUGCUCCAGUGUGGCUCUCCCAGGGCUGAGGCCUGGAACCUAGGGCUGGGCUACCUGGGGUGCUCAGCUCUGCCGCACCCCAGCCCUCCUCGGCUGCAGCCCUGGCUUCUUUUCUUACCCACUGGGAUGGCCCGUGGGACUAACCUUGCAGCCUGCAGGACUAUGGCCCAGAUGACCUUUCCGGAGCAGGGGAAGAGUUCACAGGUCUCAGACCAGGUUGACCCCGAGCCCUCUCUUUCCUGCUUCGCAUAGGGGCGGGCCAAGGGAGGCAGGGACAAUGGCAUUCCUGUUUGCAGGCCUUUGUUCCCGCCAGGAGGGCCCCCGGAGCUAAUAAAAAGGUUUGUGGCUCCGAUGUCUAAGAGGCAGUGGAGGAGUUCUUUCAAGCCUGACAUUCCAGGCCCAGCCGGCCUCUGGCAUUUCCCAGAAAAACUUCGAGGAGGGGAGGGGAAAGAAAACACUUGAGGGACCCACCCACCUACCCACUGCCCGCCUUCUCGGAUUCCUCGUUCCCUCUGGGGAUUGGGCUGGGCCGGAGUGCCAGGACCCCUGCCCUGGGGGGCCCAUUCCUCCACCCACAGAGGGGCCCUGGGAAGUGUUGAGAGGGUGAGAGUGGAUCCUGAACCAACUUUGAAGGCAGAGAAGUGGGCUAGAAGAAGUGGGGUUGGAGCCUCCACCAAGGACAAGAAGGCCUUAGCCCCCUGCUUCCAGCUCAAGCUGAAGUGGCUGUGAGCUGAGCUAAGAAGACCCCACUUCGCCAGGAGGAGUGCCUCACGCCUGUAAUCCCAGCACUUUGAAAGGCCGAGGCAGGUGGAUCACGUGAGGUCAGGAGUUUAAGACCAGCCUGGCCAACAUGAUGGAGUCUAGCUCUGUCGCCCAGGCUGGAGUACAGUGGCGUGAUCUCGGCUCACUCCAACCUCCGCCUCCCGGGUUCAAGCGAUUCUCCUGCCUCAGCCUCCUGGGUAGCUGGGACUACAGGCAUGUGCCACCCCGCCUGGCUAAUUUUUUUGUAUUUUUAGUAGAGAUGGGGUUUCACCGUGUUAGCCAGGAUGGUCUCGAUCUACUGACCUCAUGAUCCAACCACCUCGGCCUCCCAAAGUACUGGGAUUACAGGUGUAAGCCACUACACCCAGCCCCCAUCUUGCUUCUAGCCUUUAAGCAGUCCUUGUGGAUUCCUGGGUGUAGGCCGAACUAACUUUGGGAAGGAAUUCAGUUCAUGGUUUGACUCUGAAACAAAAUUGACAACAGCCCUUUCCCGAAAAGACCCCCUUCUUGCCUGGGGUCCAGUCGGCCUUUGCAGGACUAACAAAUUAGCUAUAAGAUUAGAAAUAAAAGUUUAGGGUCAUGCAGCCUCUGGCUCCAAGAAUCUGAACCUCCCCAAAUUGCUCCUGGGGAUAACAUCACUAUUGGAAAACCGCAGAUCAGUGCGUGAGAUAUUUUGCAGACUCUGCAUUCAUGGAUCAGCUGACACCACCCAGACCGGUUAUCUGGCUCAACCAGUUCUGCCAUCCCACCCAGGAAUAGAAGAUAGCAAGAAAAAUUCACUUCAACCUUCUACGAUUCCAUCUCCAACCUGACCAAUCAGCACUCCCCACUUCCCAAGCUCCUUUACUAGCCAAAUUCUCUUUAAAAACUCUGAUCCCCGAAUGCUUGGGGAGACUGAUUUGAGUAAUAAUAAAACUCUGGUCUCCCGCACAGUGGGCUCUGCGUGAAUCACUCUUUCUCCAUUGCAAUGCCUCUGUCUUGAUAAAUCAGUUCUGUCUGGGCAGCAGGCAAGGUGAACCCAUUGGGCA